UAUCCGUAGGUGAACCUGCGGAAGGAUCAUUAUUGGAUUUUGAAACUUCAGGCUGCUGCUGGCUCUCCUCGGAGGGCAUGUGCACGCUUGUUGUCCAUUAUUUCUCCCACUGUGCACAAAUUGUAGACCUUUCAGUAGGCCUAUGUUGUUUUUCACAAUCUCUGAAUGUAAUAGAAUGGUUUUGAAUCUUGGGAAAUACAAUACAACUUUCAGCAACGGAUCUCUUGGCUCUCGCGUCGAUGAAGAACGCAGC
RNAcentral lists this unclassified non-coding RNA (253 nucleotides) under plant metagenome. RNAcentral describes it as "partial contains small subunit ribosomal RNA, internal transcribed spacer 1, and 5.8S ribosomal RNA". The stretch from base 205 to 253 matches the Rfam family "5.8S ribosomal RNA", at positions 1 to 49 of the family's 154-position model. The record is from RNAcentral.